UUGAUUGUAACUUAUAAAAAGAGUUUUAAUGUUAAUAAAAAGAAGGGGAAUGCGCCCCUAAUCAAG
This 66-nucleotide transfer RNA is filed under the name Endeis sp. JZ-2022. Its description in RNAcentral is "tRNA-Asn". Lineage: Eukaryota; Metazoa; Arthropoda; Pycnogonida; Pantopoda; Endeidae. The record is from RNAcentral.